This 483-nucleotide ribosomal RNA is filed under the name uncultured bacterium. RNAcentral's name for it is "bacterial SSU rRNA". It matches the Rfam family "Bacterial small subunit ribosomal RNA", at positions 28 to 507 of the family's 1533-position model. The record is from RNAcentral.
GAUGAACGCUAGCGGCAGGCUUAACACAUGCAAGUCGAACGGCAGCACAGGUAGCAAUACUGGGUGGCGAGUGGCGCACGGGUGCGUAACGCGUAUGCAACCUACCUCUAUCUGGGAGAUAGCCUGAAGAAAUUCGGAUUAAUACCCCAUAAUAUAUGUCUUUCGCAUGUUAGACAUAUUAAAGCUUUGGCGGAUAGAGAUGGGCAUGCGUGACAUUAGCUAGUUGGUAAGGUAACGGCUUACCAAGGCUACGAUGUCUAGGGGUCGUGAGAGGAUUAUCCCCACACUGGUACUGAGACACGGACCAGACUCCUACGGGAGGCAGCAGUGAGGAAUAUUGGACAAUGGGCGAAAGCCUGAUCCAGCCAUGCCGCGUGCAGGAAGACGGCCCUAUGGGUUGUAAACUGCUUUUAUAUGGGAAUAAACCUCCGAACGUGUUCGGAGCUGAAGGUACCAUACGAAUAAGGAUCGGCUAACUCCGUG